Molecule: ribosomal RNA, 496 nt
Filed under: uncultured bacterium
Lineage: Bacteria
Description: partial 16S ribosomal RNA
Rfam family: Bacterial small subunit ribosomal RNA
Source: RNAcentral
AUGAACGCUGGCGGCGUGCCUAAUACAUGCAAGUCGAGCGAACGGACGAGAAGCUUGCUUCUCUGAUGUUAGCGGCGGACGGGUGAGUAACACGUGGAUAACCUACCUAUAAGACUGGGAUAACUUCGGGAAACCGUAGCUAAUACCGGAUAAUAUUUUGAACCGCAUGGUUCAAAAGUGAAAGACGGUCUUGCUGUCACUUAUAGAUGGAUCCGCGCUGCAUUAGCUAGUUGGUAAGGUAACGGCUUACCAAGGCAACGAUGCAUAGCCGACCUGAGAGGGUGAUCGGCCACACUGGAACUGAGACACGGUCCAGACUCCUACGGGAGGCAGCAGUAGGGAAUCUUCCGCAAUGGGCGAAAGCCUGACGGGGCAACGCCGCGUGAGUGAUGAAGGUCUUCGGAUCGUAAAACCCUGUUAUUAGGGAAGAACAUAUGUGUAAGUAACUGUGCACAUCUUGACGGUACCUAAUCAGAAAGCCACGGCUAACUACGUG